RNAcentral lists this non-coding RNA (117 nucleotides) under Palpitomonas bilix. The record is from RNAcentral.
AAAAGAAAAGGGUAUGGCAAUAGUAGGGCUUGCAGUCGCACUUUUUUUCUUUUCUGUUCUGUUCUCUUCUUUUCCUUUCUUUUUCGUUUUGCUUUUUUGCGUGUGCAAAUCAGGUGG